CAAAACUACCAAAAAAAAAAACAGAAAAAAAC
This 32-nucleotide small RNA is filed under the name Arabidopsis thaliana (thale cress). RNAcentral describes it as "ATSL124930". The record is from RNAcentral. Lineage: Eukaryota; Viridiplantae; Streptophyta; Magnoliopsida; Brassicales; Brassicaceae.